Molecule: unclassified non-coding RNA, 279 nt
Filed under: plant metagenome
Description: partial contains small subunit ribosomal RNA, internal transcribed spacer 1, and 5.8S ribosomal RNA
Source: RNAcentral
UUUCCGUAGGUGAACCUGCGGAAGGAUCAUUAUUGUAUCACCGAUGUGCGAGGGCUGUCGCUGACCCGGCCGGUCGUGCACGCACGAGAGACCUCAACCCCCUACAUCUCACAACUAUUUGCUCACCAGCACCCGUCGCCCUUUGGCGUGUUCGGAAGGGGGCUUACGUAUUCACACAAACUUUGUAUGCAGCGAGGAUUGUCUUUUUUGUUUUUUCCAUCCCGCACACAAUACAACUUUCGACCACUGAUCUCUGGGCUCUCGGAACGAUGAAGAAGA